GUGAAUUUAAUUUAACUUAAAAAUAUUUGAUUUGCAAUCAGAAAAUUUGGGUUCAAGUCCCAGAAUUCACA
Molecule: transfer RNA, 71 nt
Filed under: Linckia laevigata
Lineage: Eukaryota; Metazoa; Echinodermata; Asteroidea; Valvatida; Ophidiasteridae
Description: tRNA-Ala
Rfam family: tRNA
About the family: Transfer RNA (tRNA) molecules are approximately 80 nucleotides in length.
Source: RNAcentral